This 172-nucleotide microRNA precursor is filed under the name Leersia perrieri. Its description in RNAcentral is "pre miRNA MIR2118". It matches the Rfam family "MIR2118 microRNA precursor family". Lineage: Eukaryota; Viridiplantae; Streptophyta; Magnoliopsida; Poales; Poaceae. The record is from Rfam by way of RNAcentral.
AUGGGGAAGAGGAAGUUAGAGAAGUUCUAAGGAUGAUGGGAUUGGGAACAUAUGAGAAAGCACGAGCUCUCUGAUUUGCCCCUGGCAUUGGAGAUGGAAAUUUCCUUGCGUUUUUUUCUCGAUGCCUCCCAUUCCUAUGAUUCUUAGGCUCUCCUUCCUCUUCCUUUUCCUC